This 29-nucleotide small RNA is filed under the name Bombyx mori (domestic silkworm). RNAcentral's name for it is "ovarian small RNA-9684". Lineage: Eukaryota; Metazoa; Arthropoda; Insecta; Lepidoptera; Bombycidae. The record is from RNAcentral.
UUGAAGACGGUGCUUUCUCCUCCGGUGGA